This 490-nucleotide ribosomal RNA is filed under the name uncultured bacterium. RNAcentral's name for it is "partial 16S ribosomal RNA". It matches the Rfam family "Bacterial small subunit ribosomal RNA", at positions 30 to 507 of the family's 1533-position model. The record is from RNAcentral.
AUUGAACGCUGGCGGCAGGCCUAACACAUGCAAGUCGAACGGUAACAGGAAACAGCUUGCUGUUUCGCUGACGAGUGGCAGACGGGUGAGUAAUGUCUGGGAAACUGCCUGAUGGAGGGGGAUAACUACUGGAAACGGUAGCUAAUACCGCAUAACGUCGCAAGACCAAAGAGGGGGACCUUCGGGCCUCUUGCCAUCAGAUGUGCCCAGAUGGGAUUAGCUAGUAGGUGGGGUAACGGCUCACCUAGGCGACGAUCCCUAGCUGGUCUGAGAGGAUGACCAGCCACACUGGAACUGAGACACGGUCCAGACUCCUACGGGAGGCAGCAGUGGGGAAUAUUGCACAAUGGGCGCAAGCCUGAUGCAGCCAUGCCGCGUGUAUGAAGAAGGCCUUCGGGUUGUAAAGUACUUUCAGCGGGGAGGAAGGGAGUAAAGUUAAUACCUUUGCUCAUUGACGUUACCCGCAGAAGAAGCACCGGCUAACUCCGUG